RNAcentral lists this long non-coding RNA (1640 nucleotides) under Nicotiana benthamiana. RNAcentral's name for it is "long non-coding RNA (NBEN_LNC018097)". The record is from RNAcentral. Lineage: Eukaryota; Viridiplantae; Streptophyta; Magnoliopsida; Solanales; Solanaceae.
UUCAUCCCUUACCUUUGCAUUUUUCACAGCAAGAUCCUACAGGCUCACAUUAACAUAUUUGCACCUAUUUAAACAAACUGAGCCUACAUAUUCAGUACAGACAAUUGUUCAUGAGAUUAUAAACUCACCAGGGCAAAGAGGAAACAGUUUCAACAUGUAACACGGGAAAAGAUGAAGCCAUGAACAAACUGAAAACGUCAGUAGAAGUUAUAUGUAAAACAAGUAAGACCACAAAUGAACCAUAAUCAAGCUUUCCUUUUCCUUUAAAGUGGUUUCAAUUAACCAAAAACCCAUUCUAAUCCAUCAGUAAGGAAUAUAGGAAAACAUCUUCAUGAUGUAAACAGAUUUGAAUGCAACCGACAAAUGGUGUGGAAGACACCAGGAUAGAUUUCAAUAUUAUGUCUUUAAUCCUUAACUUCAAAAUCAAUACAAUGAUCAAGCUUAAAUCAAUUGGGUCAUCUAAGCACAUGGAAUUAUGUCUAUCCCUCGUAUUCCUAUUCGCAUCCUCCAGUCUCAAUAGGCAUAAAACGUUCAAAACAGAAAAGCAUGUCAAAUUUCAAGCAAAUACCAAAACCUCACAAAAUUGCUCCCAGAAUACAAAUACCAUGAAUGCUAAUGUCUUAUCUACACAAGGAUUCAGUUAGAGCCUAUUUAGAAACUUAAUGAUCUUGCAUAAGGUACCUUAGGCCAACAAUAGUCAAGGUUUGGUUAGCCAAAUAGAUCUAAAGAAGCUAAACAAAAGACAGAGUUUGAACAAGUCAUAGAAUCAUACGACAAGAAAAUAACUACAACAUUGCUGGCAACUAGUACAUAACCCGACAUUGCACUAUCACAAAUCCUCGAACUCACUUCUAUCAACGUCCAAUUGAAACUAAAACUUUCAAAUCCCAGGCUACUAUCACACUUCAAUCACACCAUAAUAGAACAAAAGAGAGUAUGGAAAUGAACCUGAGAAUAUUUUCGAUUAAACUUCGGCGCGAAUAUACAAUGAGAAAAUCCAGCGACAAAUCUAAUCGAACUGAGAAGGUAACUAUGGCCGGAAAUCGACACCUCGAGCAGUGACAUACCCAAUGACUCCUCAAUCGAACUCCAUUCUUGGACAAAAAUUCAUAGAAGAAUACGAACUAUUUUUUUUAUAUUUUCUGGUAUCGAAACAGAAUUAAGAACAAGAAAGGAACUGAAAAUAUUCUUUUAUCUUUUUUUUUUUUUGGAAUCUCAAACGAAAAGAUCAAGAAAGCACAAAUCCAAAACCCUAAAAUCUAACCCGAUUUUUUUUUUCAAAAGCCAUCUGAUUUCUCUCUUUUGUAGCUCGAAAUCGAACAAAUGGAGGGUCUAGAAUGAUACUUCAUUCAAUCUACGGCCCCCAUUCAUUUGAUUCGAAUUUGCAGAGCAAGAAACAUGUAGAAAUGAUGAACUUUGCACGGAUUGAGUAACGUGGAAGAAAGAGAGGAGAGGAGGGGGACCAUGGGGGGACCAAUGAGCUAACUCGCCGAGUUGGCGAGUUUGGGGUAAGGGAAGCGGCAGAGGCGUGGAUAGGGCUGGGGUGCGACUGAAGGUUUGUUAGCUAGGUUUAGUAUUUUAUUUUGGUUUAAUAUGGGGUGUGGGGAAAAUAAUCUCGUCCGUAGUAUUAAAGGGGGUGG